UUGUAAUUGGAAUGAUGGUGACGUAAAAUCUCACCAGAGUAACAAUUGGAGGGCAAGUCUGGUGCCAGCAGCCGCGGUAAUUCCAGCUCCAAUAGCGUAUAUUAAACUUGUUGCAGUUAAAAAGCUCGUAGUUGAAUUUCUGCGUUGCCCGACUCGGCUACUUGCCUUGUCUGGUUUCGCUUUUGGGGUUUUCCCCUUUUUACUUUGAGAAAAUUAGAGUGUUUCAAGCAGACUUGUGUCUUGAAUACUUCAGCAUGGAAUAAUAAAGUAGGACUUUGGUUCUAUUUUGUUGGUUUGUGAACCUUAGUAAUGGUUAAUAGGAACGGUUGGGGGCAUUCGUAUUUAACUGUCAGAGGUGAAAUUCUUAGAUUUGUUAAAGACGAACUACUGCGAAAGCAUUUGCCAAGGACGUUUUCAUUAAUCAAGAACGAAAGUUAGGGGAUCGAAGACGAUCAGAUACCGUCGUAGUCCUA
Molecule: ribosomal RNA, 473 nt
Filed under: Babesia gibsoni
Lineage: Eukaryota; Apicomplexa; Aconoidasida; Piroplasmida; Babesiidae
Description: SSU rRNA
Rfam family: Eukaryotic small subunit ribosomal RNA
Source: RNAcentral